Molecule: ribosomal RNA, 229 nt
Filed under: uncultured bacterium
Lineage: Bacteria
Description: partial 16S ribosomal RNA
Rfam family: Bacterial small subunit ribosomal RNA
Source: RNAcentral
UGCGCAGGCGGGCUAAUAAGUCAGUGGUGAAAUCUUUCGGCUUAACCGGGAAACUGCCAUUGAUACUGUUAGUCUUGAGUUCGGUUGAGGUAGGCGGAAUGUGUAAUGUAGCGGUGAAAUGCUUAGAUAUUACACAGAACACCAAUUGCGUAGGCAGCUUACUAGACCGACACUGACGCUGAGGCACGAAAGCGUGGGGAGCAAACAGGAUUAGAUACCCUGGUAGUCC